AAUUAAUACAUGAUGAAUUCAUAGUUCAAAUGAAUCGAAGUGAUUACAAAUUUUUAUUUUGUCUUUCGCUCCUAUCUGAUAAAAUUU
Molecule: small nucleolar RNA, 87 nt
Organism: Diorhabda sublineata
Lineage: Eukaryota; Metazoa; Arthropoda; Insecta; Coleoptera; Chrysomelidae
Product: small nucleolar RNA snR60/Z15/Z230/Z193/J17
Exons: 1
Source: RefSeq, a predicted model, not a curated record